RNAcentral lists this unclassified non-coding RNA (286 nucleotides) under fungal sp. RNAcentral describes it as "partial internal transcribed spacer region". The stretch from base 1 to 46 matches the Rfam family "Eukaryotic small subunit ribosomal RNA", at positions 1786 to 1831 of the family's 1831-position model. The record is from RNAcentral. Lineage: Eukaryota; Fungi.
AAGUCGUAACAAGGUCUCCGUAGGUGAACCUGCGGAGGGAUCAUUAACACUUCUACUGAGAGAAGCAGACUGAAAAGUCAACUUCGCUCUAUCCACUCGUGAACUUAACUUAUGCCCCCGGUCAUUAUUAUAAUUUUAUUAUAAUAGUGGCUAACAAUUUUUAUUGUUAUUAAACCUUUUUCCAACCGCUAACAGCUAUAUACAAUUCAUAGUUUACUAACGUUUACUAUGUAUUAUUAGUUAAAAACUAAAAGCACAACUCUUAGCAACGGAUAUCUCGGUUCUC